RNAcentral lists this ribosomal RNA (119 nucleotides) under Pteropus vampyrus (large flying fox). The record is from RNAcentral. Lineage: Eukaryota; Metazoa; Chordata; Mammalia; Chiroptera; Pteropodidae.
UUCUAUGGCCAUGCCACCCCGAACAAACCGGAUCAGGUCUGAUCUCGGAAGAUAAGCAAGGUCGGGCCUGGUUAGUACUUGGAUGGGAGACUACCUAGGAAGACCAGGUGCUGUAGGCG